GUAGGGAAUAUUGGGCAAUGGAGGCAACUCUGACCCAGCCAUGCCGCGUGCAGGAAGACGGUCCUCUGGAUUGUAAACUGCUUUUGAAUGGGAAGAACAUACGGUUUGCGAACCGUACUGACGGUACUAUUAGAAUAAGCACCGGCUAACUCCGUGCCAGCAGCCGCGGUAAUACGGAGGGUGCAAGCGUUAUCCGGAUUUAUUGGGUUUAAAGGGUGCGUAGGCGGUCUUAUAAGUCGGUGGUUAAAGGUAGCAGCUUAACUGUUGUACAUGCCAUCGAUACUGUAGGGCUUGAGUGAUUUGGAGGUAGCUAGAAUUCCCUGUGUAGCGGUGAAAUGCAUAGAUACGGGGAGGAAUACCGAUUGCGAAGGCAUGUUACUACGAAUUAACUGACGCUGAGGCACGAAAGCGUGGGGAUCAAACAGGAUUAGAAACCCCGGUAGUCC
Molecule: ribosomal RNA, 446 nt
Filed under: uncultured bacterium
Lineage: Bacteria
Description: partial 16S ribosomal RNA
Rfam family: Bacterial small subunit ribosomal RNA
Source: RNAcentral